This is a long non-coding RNA of Suricata suricatta (meerkat), 419 nucleotides long. RefSeq lists it as uncharacterized. The transcript has 3 exons. The record is from RefSeq and is a predicted model, not a curated record. NCBI's taxonomy places the organism in Eukaryota, Metazoa, Chordata, Mammalia, Carnivora, Herpestidae.
UCUGUCAGUCAGGCAGGUGCGUGUGGCUAGCGGCUUGGUGUUCCCGCCCCGCGAGCCGCCCCGGGACAGAGGCGCGCUAGGAGCGCGUGCGCAGCGGUGUCCGCUCGAGUCCCAGACCCGGGUCAGUCAGUCAAUCAGGUGCUGGACUCUCGGAGGGGAUUCUGAGCGGACGUGGCGGCUGCUGGACGGGGCCGCCCACCAGUUGAACGCUGAAUGCUGAGGCGGCUGAGGAGGAAAAUUGGCAUAAUAAGGAUGCUCAUACCAAGUGGAACAAAUGACUUAUUUUCACUGACCAGGAACUAUCCUGAAAGAGAGACAUAGAGUGUGUGAGAAGAGGAGAGGAGCAGAAUCUUCAGCAGUCUCUACACUGAGUGUGCAGCAUGAUGUGGGGCUUGAAGUCACAAACCAUGAGAUCAUGA